This 118-nucleotide long non-coding RNA is filed under the name Anas platyrhynchos platyrhynchos (common mallard). RNAcentral's name for it is "lncRNA (ENSAPLG00000025195.1)". The record is from RNAcentral. Lineage: Eukaryota; Metazoa; Chordata; Aves; Anseriformes; Anatidae.
CUGUCAGUGUUGCCUCUCUUAAUCCUAAAACAUUUCAUCAUGGAAGUACUGUGGAAGUACAUGGGUAUAUAAUCUUGGAAUUACUGAACUUUGUUUUGCUUCAAACUAAACUUGAUCC